GUAGGUGAACCUGCGGAAGGAUCAUUACAGAGUUCAUGCCCCUCGGGGUAGAUCUCCCACCCUUGUGUAUCAUUAUAGAAUGUUGCUUUGGCGGGCCGCGUUUCGGCGCCUGGAUUCGCGUCCAGCGUGCCCGCCAGAGGCCCCCUCCCCUCUUCCUGUUCUUUUCUUCUUCUUCCUCUUCCCUAGUUCCCCCUUUCCACAACGG
This 205-nucleotide unclassified non-coding RNA is filed under the name plant metagenome. RNAcentral describes it as "partial contains small subunit ribosomal RNA, internal transcribed spacer 1, and 5.8S ribosomal RNA". The record is from RNAcentral.